AGACAUCACAUGUGACAUUUACUC
This 24-nucleotide non-coding RNA is filed under the name Rattus norvegicus (Norway rat). The record is from RNAcentral. Lineage: Eukaryota; Metazoa; Chordata; Mammalia; Rodentia; Muridae.